This is an unclassified non-coding RNA of Cavia porcellus (domestic guinea pig), 349 nucleotides long. Its record names the gene 7SK. It matches the Rfam family "7SK RNA". Rfam says of the family: 7SK was discovered as an abundant small nuclear RNA in the mid-70s but a possible function has only recently been suggested. Two independent studies have found that 7SK RNA binds the CDK9/cyclin T complex (known as elongation factor P-TEFb). The record is from Ensembl. NCBI's taxonomy places the organism in Eukaryota, Metazoa, Chordata, Mammalia, Rodentia, Caviidae.
GGAUGUGAAGGCAGUAUGGCUGUGACAUGUCAGCCCUUUGAUCAUCCAUGCUGAUGCAGCUGAUCUGGUGGGCUCAACGGGUAACCUCUUUCUCCCUCACCGCUCCAGGUGCAUCCUUCUCAAAGCUACAUGCUGGGGGGGGGGACCCACCCUCAUAGAGAGGAGGGCUGUUUCUUUGGUCAAAGGUAUAUGAAUAUCCUGUAGUACUCCCACGAUCUUGUUUUGACUGAUUAGACUCUGUUCCAUUCUAUAUGGUAGUAUCAAGUUUGAAGACAUAGGCAACUACUUUGAAGACAAUAAGAUUCACUAAGAUACCCAUUCUGGUUUGACUAUUGUCUUCUUUGGAAGU